This 253-nucleotide ribosomal RNA is filed under the name uncultured bacterium. RNAcentral describes it as "partial 16S ribosomal RNA". It matches the Rfam family "Bacterial small subunit ribosomal RNA", at positions 524 to 776 of the family's 1533-position model. The record is from RNAcentral.
UACGGAGGAUCCAAGCGUUAUCCGGAUUUAUUGGGUUUAAAGGGUGCGUAGGCUGUAUAAUAAGUCAGAGGUGAAAUUUUUGAGCUUAACUUAAAGAUUGCCUUUGAAACUGUCAUACUUGAGUACAGCUGAAGUUGGCGGAAUGUGACAAGUAGCGGUGAAAUGCAUAGAUAUGUCGCAGAACCCCGAUAGCGAAGGCAGCUAACUAAAGUGUCACUGACGCUGAUGCACGAAAGCGUGGGGAUCAAACAGG